CAGCCGCCGCGGUAAUACNUAGGGAGCAAGCGUUGUCCGGAUUUAUUGGGCGUAAAGAGCGUGUAGGCGGUCAAGUAGGUGGGUUGUGAAAACUGGAGGCUCAACCUUCAGACGUCGACCCAAACCCCCUGGCUAGAGUCCGGAAGAGGAGAGUGGAAUUCCUGGUGUAGCGGUGAAAUGCGCAGAUAUCAGGAAGGACACCCGUGGCGAAGGCGGCUCUCUGGGACGGUACUGACGCUGAGACGCGAAAGCGUGGGGAGCGAACAGGAUUAGAUACCCUGGUAGUCCACGCCGUAAACGAUGGGUGCUAGGUGUGGGGGGUGUCGACUCCCCCCGUGCCGAAGCUAACGCAUUAAGCACCCCGCCUGGGGAGUACGGCCGCNAGGCUAAAACGCAAAGGAAUUGACGG
RNAcentral lists this ribosomal RNA (409 nucleotides) under uncultured bacterium. Its description in RNAcentral is "bacterial SSU rRNA". It matches the Rfam family "Bacterial small subunit ribosomal RNA", at positions 509 to 916 of the family's 1533-position model. The record is from RNAcentral.